Anas platyrhynchos (mallard) is the source of this 5303-nucleotide long non-coding RNA. RefSeq lists it as uncharacterized. The record is from RefSeq and is a predicted model, not a curated record. NCBI's taxonomy places the organism in Eukaryota, Metazoa, Chordata, Aves, Anseriformes, Anatidae.
AUUACCAAAUUCUUCAAGGACUUCAAAUAGUUACAGCUAUUCUAUAUGGGGCUUGUGCUUAUUUAAUUGUCUUUGCUAAGUCAAUCUUAUGGCAAUAGGAGUUAGUCUAGUGUUUCGUUUCAACUGCGUGAUGUAAUCUAUUAUUCUUUUCACUGGGGACUUCUCUGUUGAGCUAAUACAAAGACUGUUUUGAGUAACUCUGAAGUGGCAAAUGCCUGCAGAUAAAGCUUUAACAGUUCACAUGCAACCAUAAAUGGGAACCUAGUAAAGUGUUAGCAAUAGUUCUCAAACAAUUAUAUGUAGCAAAUCAUGUAGUUCUGCUUUUCAAGAUAAAUAAAUGAAACAAAGCGGGGAGGACUGGGAAGACAAGAUUGAGAGCAAGUGAGAUGAAGAUCCUAUUUUGUGUGUCAUGAGUAAUACAAUGCUCAUCUGUCCUAAAUGUCUUAACCUAUGGUAUUUCAAUUUUCUGGGGAAAAACAUUCUAACAAAAUUUCCCAUUCAUAGUUCUAUAUCUACUGCAUUAAUAUGCUUACUGACGGUUUAGGGAUGAUGGUUUUGACAGGGUUAAUGCAAAUCUUGCUUCCAUCCUCGUUUCUAGAUGGAUCCUGUUGCAUCACCUCACUUAAAAAUACCUAACAGCAGAACUUCAGGCUGAAGGUUAAGGUCCUUAAUAUUGCGCGCCACCCCCUCUCCCCCCCCAAAAAAAAAGCUGUUCUGAAGAGCCAAAUUAUUAAUAAUGAUUUCAACAGAAACGCCACUCAGAAUGUGGUCAGAGAAAAUGCUUAUUAAAAAAUUAAAAAGGUGGAUUUUCUUUAGAAGAAAAGGUAACCCAUUAAUAGUAGCUUUUAGUGGUAAAAUGAAAAGUGUUGGUAAUGCAGAUAUGUGGACCUUUUACUUCUCAAUGGUGAAGCCAUUACUGGAGGAUGCAACUCAUUCCAAAGCAGACCAGUAACAAUUAGUACUGUGCAUGCUCAAGCUAUCACAAGGUAUUUUAUGCCUAUCACUUAUCUUAUUAGUUUCUUUCUCAUUUUGAAUGCAUUAGUUGCUGUGGAAACCACAGAACUAGCAGAAGCUAGAAGGGGGGAUCAUGACUUCAGAAAUAAGCUGAUUUCUUAUGAUUCAUUUGCUACCAGUCCAGAAUCAAAUGAUGCACAGCAUCCAGAAAAGGUACCUGUGGAAGUGAGAACAGUAUUUGCCCUGUCCUUGCACAUUCCCUUCUCUUCUACUUAUGUCCUAAUUUUAGCGAGACCUGUUGUAGCGGUGGCCAAGUAAUUUCUGUCUGUCAGUGUUUUAUGCAGCUGAAUCUCAAAAUCUGUUUUUCUUGUCGUUGGGUUUUCUUUUGUUUUCUUUAAAUAUCUAAUGUGUUUAAAAAAAAGAAUUGAUAUUUUGCUGAAAUGACCAAUGUAUUAGAAAGCAAAAUCCAGCAAGGUGUAGCAAACUUAUCACUUCAGCUGGGGGACGUCAAAUUGAUAAGAUUUAGCCAAGACUUUCUUAUGAAGUAUUGAUAUUUUUGGUGAAGGAGAAGGGGCUGGGAGCCAUUAAGCAAGGUGGCAAGGGUAACACCACGAAGUGGGAUGAACACCAAAGUACUUUUUAUCAAAACUUGGAUUGUGCUUUUGAUAUAUUGAAUUAAACUCUGUUACAUGAAUACUCUGGGCAUAAAUCAACCCAGUGGCUUUGUGUUCAAUGUAAUUGCAUAAACUUAUUGCUUUAGACAUAAAGUUAUUGCUUUAGAACAUUCUCAUAUUGCUUACAUACCUACAGAUGAAAUUGGUUAUUAGAUUUGUGUCCCUUCCGGGGUUAUCAGAAUCAGAUUUGCGAUUAAUAUUUAUCUACUUUAUUAUUGGAAAAAGUAUUCAUGUCUAGCAGCUGUAUUGAAAAGAGAUUCCUUUAAUUUCUAACCAUUAUCUGAGAGCCAAAGAAUUAACCUGGAUCUAUGCACAUCCUAUGAUAGAUGCAUAGUGAGUCUCUUUGCUUAAUAUGAAUGUUGAUACUUCCAUCACUGUAAAAUAGAGUGACUGUAUAAUAAGUUCUUACAUGAUUUUAAGGGGUAGAGAUGACCAUUCAUCACUUUACUCCUGUCAUUAUCACAGCUUCACUUAUUAAAAAGUUCUGUGCAAUAUUGCCUGUAUUUUUAGCUGGUAUUGUGUUGUACGUGUGUCCAGGCAUGGCAUUUAUUCCACUGUAUCUGUGAACUUCUGUUUAGUUUCACUUACAGCAUGUCAUCUUGUAUUCUACUACUGAAGUUGACUAGUGAUGCCCUUUGUGGAAGGAACCGUACUUUCUCUGCACACUACCAUGUACUGUCACAUACUGAUCUCUAUUUUAAGAACUAACUUGCUAUUUCAGAUUAGCUUUGACUUGUUAAAGUCAACAACAGAGUACGUCAAGUGGUGCUGGUGUGCACAAGAACAAGAUGAAAUUAAAGGCAUUUGGAAGUUAAUUUAAUAAGCAAUAUUUUUUUCCAUUACUGAGAUUACUUAGCUUAAAUCUUAAGAGAACAUACAGUUCAUUCUUAGCUCUUAAAUGUGCUUACCUACCCACGAGUUUGAAAUCAAGAUUCUUUUUUGUCAAGUACCUCUGAUGUAUUCUUACCGAAUUUGUCAUUGGUGCCUAGAAAAAAGAGAUGACAAAAUAGUGAGUAGCAAAUUUGCACUUAAUGUCACGGGUGGUUUGUCACAAUAAAAAAUAUGUUGCAUGCCUCUAUACCUUAGAGUAUAUGCCGGUGUGCAUACACCGUUAUUCCCCAAAACUGCUUUUAAAAGAUGCUACUACUGAAAGUCAGAUGGAAAAUCAAAUGGUUCAGACAACUACCAGCUUUUUAGAUCAUCUGAUGGAUCAUCUGCUCCAUUUACAUAUCAAGUUCCCAUUUAAUAAUAUAUUUGAGAUUACACUGAAAAUCUGAAAUGCAAGAAAAAUGAAUAUUUAAGCAAGCAUCAGUGAGUUCUUGAAUUGCACCAUACACAUUUAAUGGGUUCUUUAUUUUAACAUGUAAAAUUCCUCAGUAAGGAACUUCUGUCCUCACGAAAUGAUGGGUUUAGCCCCACUAGAUCCUUGCUCAUAUCUACCAGUUGUUUGAAGACUGAAGGGAGUACAACAAUGAAUCUUUGCUCCUUUUCCAUGUUGGUACACAAUUCCCCUUCGCCAUACUCUUAGGGAAGGGGGAAAGCGUCAACUCCUAUCCCUGCUCCCUGAGUAUAGUAACAAAAUAGGUUUCACUCUCCCAAGGCUAUCCAGUUCCCAAGUGUCCCAGCUGACAGGGGCUUUGAAACUGGAUGAAGAGUUUUGCUGUCUUGGGAUCUGACAUCUAGCUCACUGAUUUUGACAUUUAUUUUUUAAUACUUAAGUUAAUGUGGAAUAAAAUUUGCUUUUGGCUUUAUUUAGAUUUGUACUUCUGCUGCAGUUGUUACAGCUGCAUUGCUUUAACUGCAGAAUGGAAGGGGAGCACUUCUGAACACACUCCAGCAGAGAGAGCAUCGCUCGCUUUGAUGGAAGGAGGCACGAGGGUGCGGCAGGGAGAAUCUAAGGACACAGUUAUUCCAGCAGCCAUGGCUGCCUGGGCACAUUAUCAAGCUUGGAAAGCCUUUACAGCGUUUCAAGAGAGAUGCAAUAGCACUGAUUGUGAUGGGUGACUGAAUGCAUUUUCCUUCAAAGCUGCUCAGAAACAGCUGACAAGUGCAAUUUUAGGAAGGCUACUGGAGAAGCUUAUUGCAUGGGUUUUUCCUGCCACCUUCUGGAUAGGGAGAAGAAUAAUUUUGAGCAGAUAAAAUCAUGUGGGUUUUUCUGGACAAUAUGUAUGUCAACUUAUUAUUUGUAAAAUAUGUAUUGAGAUUGGCAAUGGAAGACAAAAGCAUGAAGAGCAAAAGCAGACAUCUUUCUAUGCUCCUGGAGAGAGGAUGACCCUGCUUCAAUUCCUUUUUUUCAUAAUUAUUUUGCAUUUUCUGUAAAUAACCUAUUUCCAUAGGUCCUUUCGUCAUGGAAGGGUUGUAUUUUAGCUUGUCUUUGUAAGUAGUAAGAUUGCAGAAAGAAUAAUGGCUUGGAAUAAGCAGCUAAUAAAGCUGAUAAUUCUUUGAAGUGCUCUCUAAAAUGUGUGCACCCUGAAUUUAACAGCAUCUUUAUUUUAAUAAAAGCAAGAGUGGAAUUUUUCAGAAGUACUCAUUCCUAAUCCAUACCCAUUGUUGUUAGUGGAUUCUUCUACUUCUGAACUUCAGUGAGAAUGUUUAAGCCACGGCCAUGUGUCUUGUAAUAACUUUCUUUCAAAUGUAUAAUGCUACAAUCAGAGCAGUUUACUGAAAAAUUGUAAAUGAGGAAAAGGGGCGAGUGCCGCUCAAUUCCUACACGAACAAUGCAUGUUUAAAUUAACCAUUAGUAUAAUGUAUGGAAAUCAUAUCAGGGCUUCAAGAAAGUAGACCCAAAGAUAUUGUGUAUAUAUACAUAAACAAAUGUGUGGGUAUAUAUGCAUACAAAUAAACCAAACAACAAAAAUACAUACGUACAUACCAAAACCAAGGAACCUAGAAUAGGCACUAAAUGGACAAAGUUUCAGAUGAUAUUAGACUAUUUUUAAUGUGGGAGACUAUAAAGCAGUGACUUGCACACCACCACACAGGAGAGCCUGUCUCAGAGCCAGAAGCAAAUUUCCAUUUCCAGAAUACAAACCAUAAGGCCACCUGGCUCCCCAUUUAUUGUUGUCCCCCUGCUGCAAACUAAAUAGCUUCUUGCAUCGCUGCUUGAAAUUACUUCUGUUAACAUAGAGGAAUGAGAUACCGUUUUCUUCCCCUCUCUUAAAUGAAGUCGUCUCUUUAGCAGCUGUCAUCUCAGUAAUGAGCAGAGCUACAAAUAAACGUCUUCAGCAGUCUGCAAGCAGAUUUAAGUCCAAUGCUUUAACCCAUGUAAAGCAACGAUAUGCCUUAAGCAGUUCAUGAGAGUGCUUCUAAAAUAUGUCAAAACGGGAGGGAGGAUGAUAUUAAUGUCACUUGUUUUUUUUCUUUUUCAUCAUGAUUGAAAUCACACGUGAAGCUGGCGACAUUGGAGCGUUAUCUGUUGUACAACUGAAGACAGCAUAGGGAAUAUUUAAGUGAAACUGUACUGAAAUAACUUCUCAUGUGUCUGAGCAUAGAUUUUUAGCAGCCUUUAUUGAAUGUCUUGAAGCCAGUGUCCCACUGCAGAUGGUACUCACUGGCCAAGGCAUUAGAUAAAAUGUUCCAAUAUAUACUUCCUUUUUAGUAAAUUGACUCUCUUUUAAAAAUAAAUAAAUAAAUAAAUACAAUUGUGUUUUGUCAUAACACGAUGUUUUGUGUUUC